RNAcentral lists this transfer RNA (66 nucleotides) under Furculitermes winifredae. Its description in RNAcentral is "tRNA-Ile". Lineage: Eukaryota; Metazoa; Arthropoda; Insecta; Blattodea; Termitidae. The record is from RNAcentral.
AAUGAUGAGCCUGAUUAAAGGACUAUCGUGAUAGGAUAAAACAUGUAGUUAAGCCUACCUUCAUUA